ACUCAAUAAUAACAAGGGGACAGGCUGUACAGUGCCCUGCUAGGGUGUAAGUACGAAAAAAAAAAAAAACAUACUUUGAAUAGGGGGAAGGAGGGAAAAUAGUAUUAAACAAUCCUAUUUUCACUCCUUCCCCUUAUUCAAAGUACAUUUUUUUCAUACUUACACCCUAGCAGGGCACUGUACAGCCUGUCCCCUUGUUAUUACUGAGUU
This is a non-coding RNA of Pelobates cultripes (western spadefoot toad), 210 nucleotides long. NCBI's taxonomy places the organism in Eukaryota, Metazoa, Chordata, Amphibia, Anura, Pelobatidae. The record is from the annotation of a GenBank genome assembly.